GGCUGGAUAGCUCAGCUGGUUAGGGUGUGGUGCUGGUAACACCAAGGCUGCAGGUUCGAUCCCCGUAAGGGAUCAGUUG
Molecule: non-coding RNA, 79 nt
Organism: Podarcis lilfordi (Lilford's wall lizard)
Lineage: Eukaryota; Metazoa; Chordata; Lepidosauria; Squamata; Lacertidae
Source: the annotation of a GenBank genome assembly